ACUACGGGUGGCUGCAGUGAGGAAUAUUGGUCAAUGGCCGAGAGGCUGAACCAGCCAAGUCGCGUGAGGGAAGAAUGUCCUAUGGAUUGUAAACCUCUUUUGUCAGGGAGCAAAGUCACCCACGUGUGGGUGUUGGAGAGUACCUGAAGAAAAAGCAUCGGCUAACUCCGUGCCAGCAGCGGCGGUAAUACGGAGGAUGCGAGCGUUAUCCGGAUUUAUUUGGCGUAAAGCGCUCGUAGGCGGUAUGUCAAGGCAAGGUUGAAAUCCCCGCGCUCAACGGUGGAACUGACUUUGAAACUGGCAAACUGGAGUGUGUGAGAGGAUAGUGGAAUUCCAGGGGUAGGAGGGAAAUCCGUAGAUAUCUGGAGGAACAUCAGUGGCGAAGGCGACUAUCUGGCACAUAACUGACGCUGAGGAGCGAAAGCGUGGGUAGCAAACAGGAUUAGAUACCCCGGUAGUC
Molecule: ribosomal RNA, 460 nt
Filed under: uncultured bacterium
Lineage: Bacteria
Description: partial 16S ribosomal RNA
Rfam family: Bacterial small subunit ribosomal RNA
Source: RNAcentral